UUUAUUGAAAUGAAUUGUUAAAGUGGCUAAAUUAAAAAUAAAAUUAUUUUGGCAUUUGUAGGAGCACCCUUUAUAUAUCAGGGAAAAUCACUUUAUGACAAAGAAUUGUAUUCUGUGAAGAUGUCAAUAUUACAUCAGGCAUUAAUUUAAUGAGGCUGACUCUUUCAAAUAUAACAUGCAAGUGACAAAAGGUAAAAACAUCCAGAUGAAGGAAUCCUUCAAAUGAAUCGUACAGCAUGCUUAAAAGUGUAGGACAGAUGAGUGAAUUUUGGAAACCAGAAGAUCCUGAACCACUGAGGCCUGGAAGCUCAGGGGCCUGUCAUUCAAAGAACUCUGUC
Molecule: long non-coding RNA, 338 nt
Filed under: Homo sapiens (human)
Lineage: Eukaryota; Metazoa; Chordata; Mammalia; Primates; Hominidae
Description: HSALNT0094147
Source: RNAcentral